Manis javanica (Malayan pangolin) is the source of this 352-nucleotide non-coding RNA. The record is from RefSeq and is a predicted model, not a curated record. Lineage: Eukaryota; Metazoa; Chordata; Mammalia; Pholidota; Manidae.
AACCGUGAAAAGUGCCCAGGAGCGGACUGGGGCCUUCAGACAUGGGCGCUGACCCCUGUCACUAUCAUUUACAUCUUCCUUGGACUCUGAGAGUGUUUCCACAGGCUUUCAGCUGUGAGCUUUUGGGGUCCUGCAGGGGGAGCUCUGGGGUCUCAGGCGUGGUGUGCAGUGGAAAGAUGCCUGCCCGCUGCAGGAGCCUAGAGCUCACAGUACAGCUGCCUGCACUCCUCUACGUCCUAGUCCCGAGAGGAGGAGGGUGUGACCAUUGCCUUCGUUAACACAUUGUCAACAGUGUGGGGGAAAGAGUCCAUGUGGAUAUUUCUGGAAUAAAGUGUAGACGCCUGGUUGUUGC